Molecule: long non-coding RNA, 3418 nt
Filed under: Mytilus galloprovincialis (Mediterranean mussel)
Lineage: Eukaryota; Metazoa; Mollusca; Bivalvia; Mytilida; Mytilidae
Rfam family: Histone 3' UTR stem-loop (bases 3071-3115)
Source: RNAcentral
CAGGUACCCGAAAAACGUGUUGAAUAUUCAUAUGUGUACAAAUUUAUUGAUUAGGUAAGAAAACAUAUUCAAAUACAUUACUAAACAAAAAUCUAACCAAACAGUUUGGGCUGCGAGAGUAUCGAUCAACCUAUCGAACCGGUUCUUAUUACAGAUUCAAAAAGUUUUUGUCUUUGUGUUGACUUUUUGGAUUCCAGGUGUUCGAAGUAUAUUUCGCCGUUUAUCUGUUACAAGCUUGAUAUAACAUUUUAAAAAAAGAAUCACACAAACAUAUUCUGACUUCUACUUAUAAUAUUUAUGCAACAAAACAUUCUGAGAAGUCCAAAAAUAAAUAUGCAACUUUGUUUACAAAUUUUCACCUGAAGCCGCCAUGUUUGAUUUCGAACUUACAGGUUGAGUAACUAAUUACUAAGCACAUCAGCUAAUGACAUAAGCACUAGUCAUUUGCUGUGCAGGUAUACACAAGACUAUCUUUAAUCUACCACAAACUGUAUGUAUUUUUUGUUCCAGCAUUAUAAUUUUAAGUUAAAGACGAUGUAUUUUAUAGGGGAGAAGUAAAUAGUGAAAUUAUCUCCCUUACUUACUCAGAAUAUUUUUUUCAUAAUGAAUACAGAUCUUCAUUUUUCAAUAGUUAGACCACACAAAAUUAAUACAGCAAAAGCACAGGCACUUGUCUCUGAGAAAGAAAUCCAUCAACUUUAUUAUAUUACAUGUACAAUGCACUUGGCUUACAUUUUUGGAAAUGACAAAUGGUUUUCAGUUUUCCUUCAUAUUUUGAUUUUGGUAAACGGACAGAAAGUCACAGGACAUAAAGUCACAAAUUUGAUAGGACAAAAAGUCAUAAAUAUUUUUUUGACAAUUGUUUGGAUAUAUAUAAGAGAAAUAUCUUGAAAUAUUUACUUUUUAAUACAUAUAUUCAUAUUAAGUUAAUGAAAUUUAUCAUUUUACUUGAAAAAGGAAGAUUUAUUUAGUUUUAAUCAUGCAAAGGACAUAUUUCUUGGCACCAUGAAGCCAUUUAAGUGCCAAUAUAUUUUGACAUUUUACAUUCUUUGACAUUUUUUGAUACAUUUUGCUUACAAAGUUGGUUAAUAUACCAUACUUCAAGAAAAAUACAAAAAUGUUUUUGUAAGAAUAAGCAUUUUUUAUUCAAAGAAAAUAAUCAGAAAAAAUGAAUUGUGACUUUUUGUCCGUGACUUUUUGUCCUGUGACUUUCUGUCCUACAUUCUUUGAUUAUACAGUUCAAGCAAUUGUCUAUACCACUUGAACUUAUUAUCCCAUAAAUCUACAUUGAAUUAUCUACAAAAGGGUGUAUAACAUACUUAUUCUAUGAUAGGAAUCAUUCUUGAUAGGUCAUCCAAGUACAUGUAUGUCAACCUUAAUUAUUUUGUUGAAAUCACAGUCCUAAUUUUGGAGGCCUUCUACAAGUGAUUCAGACCUCAAAAGAAGACGUUAAUGUUUCAUUCACGAUUUUGUAGCUAAAUCGAUGUACAGUUUAGUGGGGUAAUUAAGUGAGGAAUCACAAUAUACUGAAAGCUCACUUCAAAAUACUAAUUGUAUUUUUUUUUUAAAUGCAUGUUUAUAAGUAUUUUGAGUGGAACAGUACAUGUAUAUAGAAAAUAAGAAAUUCUGAGAUAAGUGCCUUUGAGAAUAAGGUGCCAUGUCCCUCUCAAUCAAUUCGUCCCGAAUGAACAUUAAAUAAUUUGCCACUGCAAGGAAGUUGAGCAAAGUUUGAUACCAAUUUUUUAGUGUAACAAAAAAACUAACAUGAUUCAUUGUGAUUGGUCAUCCUAUAUGUUAGUUCCGGUAAAUUAAGUAUCAUUUGUCCAAGUAUCAUUAAUAUUAAAUAUUUUAUUAAAAUCUAGAAUAGAAUACAAUCUCUUUAUAAGCUAUAGUCUUGUGAUUUAUUUGAACUAUUUAAAUAGGUGAUCAUUAAAGAAAGUCUUAAGUACUCUUUCUCAAGUUACUUGCAAAUUUUCUAUAAAAAAUAUUGCUUGAAUAAGUGAAUAAAGAAAUUACUCAUUUAAGUAUUCCCCCUGACUGUAUUAGUGGCAAAAUGAAGUUUUGAUUGGUGUUAUUUGAGUAUUAAAAAGUUCUUGUCUUCAAAAUUCCAAUAGGGAACAUACCUUUUAUAAUUGUAUAAAUAAACCAAUUGUUCAGACGUUUCGGCCAUUGGCCUUCUUCAGUUAUUUAUUAUUCCUCUAAACUACAUGGCUGACAUUUCUUUUUUCAGACAUUGAAAAGAUGUUAUAGAUAAAAAGUUAUUAUUUCUCUUUGCCACCAUGUUGAGGGUCAAUUUUCUCAAAUUCUUUCUUAAAUAAACCAAGUUCAACAUGUUAUGCUGGUCAUUUGAAUUGACUAGAAAAAAAGUUUGUUUUUUUACAAAUUUUCAUUUGUCUUUAAGUGUUGAAUUGUAUCAAAGUAUAACAAGAUCUAAUAUUUAUAGGAUCUCCUAUCAGAUUUGCUUGAAACAAGUUUGGUUAGUUCAUGUACAUGUACAUGAAGUCAUUUAGGAAAAUACCCAAGUUAUUGAAGUUAAUUAUAAUGGGGCAGAGGUAUAAUAAUAUAUCAAACUCAACUUAAAUAUUCAAAAUUGUGACAAAUUUUUUGUUGUUGUAGAUAAACUAUUGCUUCACCAGAUGAAGAUGUAAACAAUGCCUGCAGGUCAUUAUGACCCUCAGACUUCUUACAAUGGUGAUGAUUCUGCAGCUAGCAUUCUAAAAACAGUACAAGCACAGGUAAGUACUAUUAUUAUACCUUACAUAUAUUACAAACAAUUCUAUUGGAUAACAACUUAUCACGUGACAUGGAAUAAUUCGGUUAAUUUUCAUGUAAUUGCAUGGGAGGACGAAUAACCCUUAAAAUUUACACCAACGGUGAAUAACCCUAUUAUUCACCGGCGAAUAACCUUUUUAGUGUCUAGAUUUGCACUCGAGUUACCUCCCAUGCAAAUGACGUCACAGACGUAAAUAAACAAGAUGGCAGCGUUCACGUUACACUGACAGCCCAUCGAGAGACGAGGAAAUAAGGCUUUGGAAAUGAAUAGAGUGCCAGCAGCCGAUGUUAUCUCCUCUAAAUGGUCCUUUUCAGGGCCAUUAAUAUUUUACGAAAAGAUUCUACCUUUGUUGUACAUCCGAGAAAUUCUAGAACACAAACAUGACAAAUAUAUUUUCCUGAGCUAUUUUCAAACGUCAGCUUGUGUUUGUUAUGUAAAAAAUAUAGUGUUCAAAAUGCCCUUCCACUGUUUAUUCGGUAUAAUAAAACAAUUGUGGCCCCAUAGAAUCGAUGAAUAUCCAAAAUUGUCAACCCUUAAAAGUUAUUUCACUUCGGGCUGCGCCCUCAUUGAAAUAACCUUCUCGUGUUGACAAUUUUGGAUAUUCACCUUUUCAACGGGCCAUAAUUGUAUAAUCUACACAUAUAU